UUGGUCAUUUAGAGGAAGUAAAAGUCGUAACAAGGUUUCCGUAGUGAACCUGCGGAAGGAUCAUUACAGAGUUCAUGCCCUUCGGGGUAGACCCCCACCCUUGAAUAUAUACCCUUGUUGCUUUGGCGGGCCGCUUCGGCUAUGGCUUCGGCUGGUGAGUACCCGCCAGAGGACCCAAAAUUCUGAAUUAUGUGUCGUCUGAGUACUAUAUAAUAGUUAAAACUUUCAACAACGGAUCUCUGGUUCUGGCAUCGAUGAAGAACGCAGCGAAAUGCGAUAAGUAAUGUGAUUGCAGAAUUCAGUGAAUCAUCGAAUCUUUGAACGCACAUUGCGCCCCUGGUAUUCCGGGGGGCAUGCCUGUUCGAGCGUCAUUAUAACCCCUCAAGCCAGCUUGGUGUUGGGGCCUGCCGUCUGGCAGCCCUUAAAAUCAGUGGCGUGCCAUCUGGCUCUAAGCGUAGUAAUUUUUCUCGCUACAGAGUUCUGGUGAUGCUUGCCAUCAACCCCCAAUUUUCUAUGGUUGACCUCGGAUCAGGUGGGAUACCCGCUGAACUUAAGCAUAUCAAUAAGCGGAGGAAAGGGGCCU
RNAcentral lists this ribosomal RNA (583 nucleotides) under uncultured fungus. Its description in RNAcentral is "eukaryotic LSU rRNA". The stretch from base 221 to 371 matches the Rfam family "5.8S ribosomal RNA". Lineage: Eukaryota; Fungi. The record is from RNAcentral.